Non-coding RNA from Chytriomyces cf. hyalinus JEL632, 72 nucleotides. The record is from the annotation of a GenBank genome assembly. Lineage: Eukaryota; Fungi; Chytridiomycota; Chytridiomycetes; Chytridiales; Chytriomycetaceae.
GGGGGUGUAGCGCAGUGGUAGCGCGUCCGCUUUGCAUGCGGAAGGCCCUGGGUUCAAUCCCCAGCUCCUCCA